AUUGUGUCAGCCGCCGUGCGGUAAUACGUAGGGGGCGAGCGUUGUCCGGAAUCACUGGGCGUAAAGGGCGUGUAGGCGGCUAGAGUAGUCGCAGGUGAAAUCCCACGGCUCAACCGUGGAACUGCCUGCGAAACCAUCUAGCUUGAGGACAGGAGAGGAAAGCGGAAUUCCUGGUGUAGCGGUGAAAUGCGUAGAUAUCAGGAGGAACAUCAGUGGCGAAGGCGGCUUUCUGGCCUGGUCCUGACGCUGAGGCGCGAAAGCUAGGGGAGCAAACAGGAUUAGAUACCCUGGUAGUCCUAGCUGUAAACGAUGGGUACUAGGUGUUGGUGGGCUCAUACCCAUCAGUGCCGCAGUUAACACAAUAAGUACCCCGCCUGGGGAGUACGGUCGCAAGACUGAAACUCAAAGGAAUUGACGGGGGCCCGCACAAGCGGUGGAGCAUGUGGUUUAAUUCGACGCAACGCGAAGAACCUUACCAAGGUUUGACAUGCCGGUUACCGAUCUGAAAAGUGAGGGACCCUUCGGGGAGCCGGCACAGGUGGUGCAUGGUUGUCGUCAGCUCGUGCCGUGAGGUGUUGGGUUAAGUCCCGCAACGAGCGCAACCCUUAUCUUUAGUUGCCAGCACAUAAAGGUGGGCACUCUAGAGAGACUGCCGUCGACAAGGCGGAGGAAGGUGGGGAUGACGUCAAAUCAUCAUGCCCUUUAUAUCUUGGGCUACACACGUGCUACAAUGGCCGGUACAACGGGAAGCGAAAGCGCGAGCCGGAGCCAAUCCCAAAAAACCGGUCCCAGUUCGGAUUGCAGGCUGCAACUCGCCUGCAUGAAGUCGGAAUCGCUAGUAAUCGCAGUCAGCAUACUGCGGUGAAUGCGUUCCCGGGCCUUGCACACACCGCCCGUCAAAU
RNAcentral lists this ribosomal RNA (902 nucleotides) under uncultured bacterium. Its description in RNAcentral is "bacterial SSU rRNA". It matches the Rfam family "Bacterial small subunit ribosomal RNA", at positions 502 to 1402 of the family's 1533-position model. The record is from RNAcentral.